RNAcentral lists this ribosomal RNA (490 nucleotides) under uncultured bacterium. Its description in RNAcentral is "partial 16S ribosomal RNA". It matches the Rfam family "Bacterial small subunit ribosomal RNA", at positions 30 to 507 of the family's 1533-position model. The record is from RNAcentral.
ACUGAACGCUGGCGGCAGGCCUAACACAUGCAAGUCGAACGGUAACAGGAAGCAGCUUGCUGCUUCGCUGACGAGUGGCGGACGGGUGAGUAAUGUCUGGGAAACUGCCUGAUGGAGGGGGAUAACUACUGGAAACGGUAGCUAAUACCGCAUAACGUCGCAAGACCAAAGAGGGGGACCUUAGGGCCUCUUGCCAUCGGAUGUGCCCAGAUGGGAUUAGCUAGUAGGUGGGGUAACGGCUCACCUAGGCGACGAUCCCUAGCUGGUCUGAGAGGAUGACCAGCCACACUGGAACUGAGACACGGUCCAGACUCCUACGGGAGGCAGCAGUGGGGAAUAUUGCACAAUGGGCGCAAGCCUGGUGCAGCCAUGCCGCGUGUAUGAAGAAGGCCUUCGGGUUGUAAAGUACUUUCAGCGGGGAGGAAGGGAGUAAAGUUAAUACCUUUGCUCAUUGACGUUACCCGCAGAAGAAGCACCGGCUAACUCCGUG